GUCGAGCGGACAGAUGGGGAGCUUGCUCCCUGAUGUUAGCGGCGGACGGGUGAGUAACACGUGGGUAACCUGCCUGUAAGACUGGGAUAACUCCGGGAAACCGGGGCUAAUACCGGAUGCUUGUUUGAACCGCAUGGUUCAAACAUAAAAGGUGGCUUCGGCUACCACUUACAGAUGGACCCGCGGCGCAGUAGCUAGUUGGUGAGGUAAUGGCUCACCAAGGCAACGAUGCGUAGCCGACCUGAGAGGGUGAUCGGCCACACUGGGACUGAGACACGGCCCAGACUCCUACGGGAGGCAGCAGUAGGGAAUCUUCCGCAAUGGACGAAAGUCUGACGGAGCAACGCCGCGUGAGUGAUGAAGGUUUUCAGAUCGUAAAGCUCUUUUGUUAGGGAAGAACAAGUGCCGUUCAAAUAGGGCGGCACCUUGAC
This 431-nucleotide ribosomal RNA is filed under the name Bacillus atrophaeus. RNAcentral describes it as "bacterial SSU rRNA". It matches the Rfam family "Bacterial small subunit ribosomal RNA", at positions 61 to 473 of the family's 1533-position model. The record is from RNAcentral. Lineage: Bacteria; Bacillati; Bacillota; Bacilli; Caryophanales; Bacillaceae.